RNAcentral lists this ribosomal RNA (425 nucleotides) under uncultured bacterium. RNAcentral's name for it is "bacterial SSU rRNA". It matches the Rfam family "Bacterial small subunit ribosomal RNA", at positions 355 to 796 of the family's 1533-position model. The record is from RNAcentral.
UCGAGAAUCUUCCCCAAUGGCCGAAAGGCUGAGGGAGCGACGCCGCGUGCAGGAAGAAGCCCUUCGGGGUGUAAACUGCUUUUCUUCAAGAACAACUCUGAGUGUACUGAAGGAAUAAGGGGCUGCUAACUUCGUGCCAGCAGCAGCGGUAAUACGAAGGCCCCGAGCGUUAUCCGGAUUUAUUGGGCGUAAAGCGUUAAUAGGCGGUUCUGUAAGUAUUUGGUUAAAUCUCAUGGCUCAACCAUGAGGCUGCCGGAUAAACUGCAGGACUUGAGGUCGGAAGAGGCAAGCGGAACUACCGGUGUAGUGGUAAAAUGCGUUAAUAUCGGUAGGAACACCAAAGGCGAAGGCAGCUUGCUGGUACGAACCUGACGCUAAAUAACGAAAGCGUGGGGAGCGAAUGGGAUUAGAUACCCGGGUAGUCC